GCGGGCGUGGUGGAAUGGUAGACACAGCGGACUUAAAAUCCGCAGCCUAUGGCGUGGGGGUUCGAGUCCCCCCGCCCGCACCA
RNAcentral lists this transfer RNA (83 nucleotides) under Parvularcula maris. RNAcentral's name for it is "tRNA-Leu". It matches the Rfam family "tRNA". Rfam says of the family: Transfer RNA (tRNA) molecules are approximately 80 nucleotides in length. Their secondary structure includes four short double-helical elements and three loops (D, anti-codon, and T loops). The record is from RNAcentral. Lineage: Bacteria; Pseudomonadati; Pseudomonadota; Alphaproteobacteria; Parvularculales; Parvularculaceae.